This 253-nucleotide ribosomal RNA is filed under the name uncultured bacterium. RNAcentral describes it as "partial 16S ribosomal RNA". It matches the Rfam family "Bacterial small subunit ribosomal RNA", at positions 524 to 776 of the family's 1533-position model. The record is from RNAcentral.
UACGAAGGGGGCUAGCGUUGUUCGGAAUUACUGGGCGUAAAGCGCACGUAGGCGGAUUUUUAAGUCAGGGGUGAAAUCCCGAGGCUCAACCUCGGAACUGCCUUUGAUACUGGAGAUCUUGAGUUCGGAAGAGGUUGGUGGAACAGCUAGUGUAGAGGUGAAAUUCGUAGAUAUUCGGCGGAACACCGGUGGCGAAGGCGGCCUGCUGGGCAGUAGCUGACGCUGAAGCGCGACAGCGUGGGGAGCAAACAGG